This 1061-nucleotide long non-coding RNA is filed under the name Actinidia chinensis (golden kiwifruit). RNAcentral's name for it is "long non-coding RNA (ACHI_LNC006971)". The record is from RNAcentral. Lineage: Eukaryota; Viridiplantae; Streptophyta; Magnoliopsida; Ericales; Actinidiaceae.
GUGGCGGUGGUGGCGGUGGGGAUUUGUAUUUGUAAGGGUGAUGUGGUGGUGGGUAGUGCGGUGGUGGUGGUGGUGGUGGGGAUUUGUAUUUGUAAGGGUGAUGCGGCGGUGGGUAGUGCACUGGUGGUGGUGGUGGUGGUGGUGAUGGUGGUGGUGGCGGUGGCGGUGGGGAUUUGUAUUUGUAAGGGUGAUGUGGUGGUGGGUAGUGCGGUGGUGGGUAGUGCACUGGUGGUGGUGGUGGUGGCGGUGGGGAUUUGUAUUUGUAAGGGUGAUGUGGUGGUGGGUAGUGCACUGGUGGUGGUGGUGUUUGUGGUGGUUGCUGUGGUUUUUUGUAUUUGUAAUUUAUUCGUGGUGGGUUGGUGAUUUGCGGUGGUGUGGUAGUUCACUUGUGGUGGUGCGGCGGCGGCGGGGACUUGUAUUUGUAAGGGUGAUGUGGUGGUGAGUAGUGCACGGGAGGCGGUGGUGGCGGGGGCGUGGACUUGUACUUGUAAGGUGUGCGUGGUGAGUAGUGCAUGGGUUGGCGGCGGCGGGGACCUUGUAUUUGUAAGGGUGAUGUGGUGUUAGUAGUGCACGGGUGGUGGCGGCGGCGCCGGCGGGGACUUGUAUUUGUAAGGGUGAUGUGUGGUUGAGUAGUGGCACGGGUGUGCGGUGGCGGCGGGGAUUUUGUAUUUGUAAGGUGAUGCGGUGGUGAGUAGUGCACGGGUGGUGGUGGUGGUGGUGGGGACUUAUAUUUGUAAGGGUGAUGCGGUGGUGAGUAGUGCACGGGUGGAGGCGGCGGCGGUGGGGACUUAUAUUUGUAAGGGUGAUGCGGUGGUAAGUAGUGCACUGGUGGCGGUGGUGGCGGUGAUUUGUAGUGAUAAGGAGGAGGUGGUGGUGGCGACUUGGGAGGUGGUGGAGGAGAUUUGUAGUAAUAAUUAGCAGUGGUUUCCAAUGGCAAAGUGAGAGACACUAUUGCCACUAGGAGAGUGGUGAUGAGAGAGGCCAUUUUAGGCCUCAUUCCUUUCGUUCCCAUCUUCACCACAAAAUCGAUUUUUGGUUAUGCUCUUAACCCUCCCUCUCCA